AGAGUUUGAUCCUGGCUCAGGAUGAACGCUAGCGGCAGGCCUAAUACAUGCAAGUCGAGGGGUAACAUGAGAGCUUGCUCUUGAUGACGACCGGCGCACGGGUGCGUAACGCGUAUGCAACCUACCCACAACUGGAGGAUAGCCCGGAGAAAUCCGGAUUAAUACUCCAUAAUGCAGGGGUACCACCUGGUACUAUUUGCUAAAGAUUUAUUGGUUGUGGAUGGGCAUGCGUCUGAUUAGUUUGUUGGUGAGGUAACGGCUCACCAAGACCGCGAUCAGUAGGGGGUCUGAGAGGAUGAUCCCCCACACUGGCACUGAGAUACGGGCCAGACUCCUACGGGAGGCAGCAGUAGGGAAUAUUGGGCAAUGGGCGAAAGCCUGACCCAGCCAUGCCGCGUGAAGGAUGAAGGCCUUCUGGGUUGUAAACUUCUUUUAUACAGGAAGAAAAAGGUCAUGCGUGACCAAUUGACGGUACUGUAUGAAUAAGCACCGCUAACU
This 498-nucleotide ribosomal RNA is filed under the name uncultured bacterium. Its description in RNAcentral is "bacterial SSU rRNA". It matches the Rfam family "Bacterial small subunit ribosomal RNA", at positions 8 to 502 of the family's 1533-position model. The record is from RNAcentral.